Molecule: small RNA, 71 nt
Filed under: Tenacibaculum gallaicum
Lineage: Bacteria; Pseudomonadati; Bacteroidota; Flavobacteriia; Flavobacteriales; Flavobacteriaceae
Description: Flavo-1 RNA
Source: RNAcentral
GGAUACCUUGGAUUGAAAACGAAUUCAACAUUUUCUUUAUUAAAGAAAAAAUCAACAAAGCCAGCACCAGA